RNAcentral lists this ribosomal RNA (684 nucleotides) under uncultured archaeon. Its description in RNAcentral is "bacterial SSU rRNA". It matches the Rfam family "Bacterial small subunit ribosomal RNA", at positions 797 to 1493 of the family's 1533-position model. The record is from RNAcentral.
CGGCUAUUUGAAAACUAGCUGUUUGCGAUAAAUGUAAGCGGCUGAGCGAAAGCGUUAAGUAAUCCACCUGGGGAGUACAUUCGCAAGAAUGAAACUCAAAGGAAUUGAUGGGGGCCCGCACCAGCGGAGGAACAUGUGGUUUAAUUCGAUGAUACGCGAGGAACCUUACCCGGGCUUGAAAUGCAUCUGACCGGCCUUGAAAGAGGCUUUCCCUUCCGGGCAGAUGUGUAGGUGCUGCAUGGCUGUCGUCAGCUCGUGCCGUGAGGUGUCGGCUUAAGUGCCAUAACGAGCGCAACCCUCAUCAUUAGUUACCAUCAGGUCAAGCUGGGGACUCUAAUGAGACUGCCAUCGUAAGAUGUGAGGAACGUGGGGAUGACGUCAAAUCAGCACGGCCCUUACGUCCGGGGCGACACACGUGUUACAAUGGGUGGUACAAAGGGCAGUCAUACUUGGCGACAUGAUGCUAAUCUCCAAAACCACUCUCAGUUCGGAUCGGAGUCUGCAACUCGACUCCGUGAAGCUGGAUUCGCUAGUAGUCGCGCAUCAGCCACGGCGCGGUGAAUACGUUCCCGGGCCUUGUACACACCGCCCGUCAAGCCAUGGAAGCUGGGGGUACCUUGAAGUUCGCAACCGUUCAAGGAGCGACCUAUGGUAAAACUAGUGACCUGGGGCUAAGUCGUAACA